UAGGGAAUAUUGGACAAUGGCCGAAAGGCUGAUCCAGCCAUCCCGCGUGAAGGCAGAAGGUCCUAUGGAUUGUAAACUUCUUUUCUCUGGGAAGAAACCCCUUGAUUCAUCAAGGGCUGACGGUACCAGAGGAAUAAGCACCGGCUAACUCCGUGCCAGCAGCCGCGGUAAUACGGAGGGUGCAAGCGUUAUCCGGAUUCACUGGGUUUAAAGGGUGCGUAGGCGGACUUGUAAGUCAGUGGUGAAAGCC
RNAcentral lists this ribosomal RNA (250 nucleotides) under uncultured bacterium. Its description in RNAcentral is "partial 16S ribosomal RNA". It matches the Rfam family "Bacterial small subunit ribosomal RNA", at positions 355 to 602 of the family's 1533-position model. The record is from RNAcentral.